This 460-nucleotide ribosomal RNA is filed under the name uncultured bacterium. RNAcentral's name for it is "partial 16S ribosomal RNA". It matches the Rfam family "Bacterial small subunit ribosomal RNA", at positions 338 to 795 of the family's 1533-position model. The record is from RNAcentral.
CCUACGGGGGGCAGCAGUGAGGAAUAUUGGUCAAUGGACGCGAGUCUGAACCAGCCAAGCCGCGUGCAGGAAGACGGCUCUAUGUGUUGUAAACCUCUUUUGUACGAGAACAAACGCUGGUACGUGUCCCUGUCUGAGUGUAUCGUACGAAAAAGCAUCGGCUAACUCCGUGCCAGCAGCCGCGGUAAUACGGAGGAUUCAAGCGUUAUCCGGAUUUAUUGGGUUUAAAGGGUGCGUAGGCGGUCGGUUAAGUCAGCGGUGAAAUCCCGGGGCUCAACCCCGGACUUGCCUUUGAUACUGUCAGGCUAGAGUGGGAGAGAGGUAGGCGGAAUGUGCGGUGUAGCGGUGAAAUGCAUAGAUAUCGCGCAGAACUCCGAUUGCGAAGGCAGCUUACCGGGCCCACACUGACGCUGAGGCACGAAAGCGUGGGGAUCGAACAGGAUUAGAUACCCUUGUAGUC